Molecule: long non-coding RNA, 540 nt
Organism: Wasmannia auropunctata (little fire ant)
Lineage: Eukaryota; Metazoa; Arthropoda; Insecta; Hymenoptera; Formicidae
Exons: 2
Source: RefSeq, a predicted model, not a curated record
GCAGGUGUACUUAUAUAUAUUUUAUUGCUUUUGAAAUUGGAAAUAAAUGGAAUCUGUAUUGCGGAUGAAGCUUUACGAUAGACAACUACGCCACAGUGUAUUUCUUAUACUGUGACUACGCGUAGUGCAAUCAGUGCACGUGUGGGAUUCCGUUGUGAGCCACGGACUGAGGUGGACGUCUGUGGCUCAGUACUCUGAUAGUGAAGAAUGAAGAAGAAGAAGAAGAAGAAGAAGUGUACGCGUGUUCCGUGAUUCUGUACGUCCUCGUAGCUGAUCCGAUCGUAUCAAUCAAUGUCUGAUGACGGAAAAGAUUUUAAUCCAAGGUGUGCUUGAUCUAUGCUGUGACUCAUGUGUGAAGAGAUAAUUUAGCGCCGGAAAAUUGUAUCGGAGUGAUGAGAUUUGCCCGUCAACAUUUCUGCAAGAAGCUAGAGAAUGACGGCUUACCGUUUUAUCGUAGGACACUUUGUCGAGAUGCGAUUAGCAUAAUAUAACUCUUCUGUAUAAUUUUAUAAUGGCAUAAAUAUAACAUUUAUAAAUAUA